CCUACGGGAGGCAGCAGUAGGGAAUCUUCCGCAAUGGACGAAAGUCUGACGGAGCAACGCCACGUGAACGAUGAAGGCCUUCGGGUCGUAAAGUUCUGUUGUUAGGGAAGAACAAGUGCUAGUUGAAUAAGCUGGCACCUUGACGGUACCUAACCAGAAAGCCACGGCUAACUACGUGCCAGCAGCCGCGGUAAUACGUAGGUGGCAAGCGUUGUCCGGAAUUAUUGGGCGUAAAGCGCGCGCAGGCGGUUUCUCAAGUCUGAUGUGAAAGCCCCCGGCUCAACCGGGGAGGGUCAUUGGAAACUGGGAAACUUGAGUGCAGAAGAGGAAAGUGGAAUCCCAAGUGUAGCGGUGAAAUGCGUAGAGAUUUGGAGGAACACCAGUGGCGAAGGCGACUUUCUGGUCUGUAACUGACGCUGAGGCGCGAAAGCGUGGGGAGCAAACAGGAUUAGAUACCCUGGUAGUCCACGCUGUAAACGAUGAGUGCUAAGUGUUAGAGGGUUUCCGCCCCUUAGUGCUGAAGUUAACGCAUUAAGCACUCCGCCUGGGGAGUACGGUCGCAAGACUGAAACUCAAAGGAAUUGACGG
Molecule: ribosomal RNA, 588 nt
Filed under: uncultured bacterium
Lineage: Bacteria
Description: bacterial SSU rRNA
Rfam family: Bacterial small subunit ribosomal RNA
Source: RNAcentral